This 248-nucleotide long non-coding RNA is filed under the name Mytilus galloprovincialis (Mediterranean mussel). Lineage: Eukaryota; Metazoa; Mollusca; Bivalvia; Mytilida; Mytilidae. The record is from RNAcentral.
UGUUUAGCAAGCAACACUAAUUCCUCUUUCUUUAAAUUAUCAAACCCCUCCAGGUCAGGCGUUUUCAAAAAUUUACCGGCAUCAAAUGCCAUUUUGUAGAAUUUUGUUGGCUAGUUAUAAUAAAAAUUACUAAACAAAUUUUGAAUAAUAUAAUUCAGUAUCCCGGACGAGCCCCCAAUUUCUGUUACGGCCAGAAAUCGCCUUUAAAUUGUAGCCAACAAAAGACACAAAUCAAUAGUAAAAUUUAA